This 510-nucleotide long non-coding RNA is filed under the name Populus trichocarpa (black cottonwood). RNAcentral describes it as "long non-coding RNA (PTRI_LNC002504)". The record is from RNAcentral. Lineage: Eukaryota; Viridiplantae; Streptophyta; Magnoliopsida; Malpighiales; Salicaceae.
GAAAUAGAACUUCCUGCGUCUUCCAGUCUUCGAUCAUGCAUUAAAGGAACCCUAAGUUCAUCUGUCCCAUCACCACCUGCAGCUCCAGAAUCCCUUGACCUCUCGGAAACAUUAUCAAAGUACUCGUUCAAAUUGCUCUCGAUGGCAAGAUCUUGAGCCUCUCUUCUCAGAAACUUCUCAAGGCUUUCCACCAAAAGUUGCUCAAACACAUGGUGACCUUCCUUUCUGACAUCUUUGUAACCAUAUCGGGCAACGCAGCGGAACAUAUGGUAGUCCUUUGGACAAACUCUUCGGAAAAGAAACCUUUCCUCUUGGGGAACUACUGGAACAGGGACAUACUUGAUACAAACAAAUACUAUAGUAGAGUGGAUUGCUGGAAGGCUCAGCAGGAACUGCCCAAAAAUUGAGGGAACACCUUGGACAAGCUCAUUGUACAGCAAUCCGAUUCCUGGAACUCUUACAGUUCCAAGGGUGGAGCCAAGCUCAAGCAUAAAAUCCAUGGAAAUCUUC